Long non-coding RNA from Equus asinus (donkey), 4722 nucleotides. Lineage: Eukaryota; Metazoa; Chordata; Mammalia; Perissodactyla; Equidae. The record is from Ensembl.
ACUAAUCUGGCUGCAGACAUGCCGGGCCUGAUAAGGGAGGAAAGAGACUAUACCAUGAAAGAAUGGUAACUCUCAUGGAUCCUGGAACAAACCAGGGAUGCUCCUGGGACUGGAUUUUGCGAAUGCCUGAUUAAGGAGGCUGGAAUGUAAGACUGGCUAACAAGAAUCCAUCGGCUGGAGGGCACUUUCUUGAGACACAAGAUUUAAUAUCCUAGCGAGGAUACCAGGGGAUGGGGCAGACUCUGCUAGGGUGGCUCUUAGAAGUCUGGAAAAAGUAGUGGCUAACACUCAGUGCAGUGGAAAUACCUGAGUUCUCCUGGCAGAUGGUAGAGAAGAAGUUAAAAAAGCUGAGGAAAGUGGACACGCUGGAACGGAUUUGUUAUCUAAGGCCGGUAAUGACAGGCAAGGACAGAGGGGCAGGCAAGGGGGCUUGACCCACAGAAAGCUGUGGAGAUGGUGAAUGGAGCAGGGUAUCCCCAGGAGCAAACCAGAGGGGCAGCCAAGAAGCCUCUGCUUAAUAUCUACAGCCAGAAAAGCAGACAGGAGUGGAGGAGCAGAAGGCAGGGGCAAUAGGAAGUCACCGUCCCUUGCUCAGUUCCCAGACCUGAACCAAUUUUCAGAUAUGAAACCCGCUGACCGAAGAGGUGGCCAGAUCUCUAGGAAUAGGACCCUGCCAAACCUCAAGUAUGUAUCAUGAUGAUUCCUUCAGGAUUCUUCCAAAGGCCUGUGGCCAUUUGUUUGGGUGAUUGUUCACUAGAGAAAGGGGAAUAACAAGACAUUUGAGGACUAGUAGAUACAGAGUUUGAGUUGACGUUAACACCUGGAGACUCAAAGCAUCAUCGUGGGCCUCUUUUCAGAGCCAGGCCAUGGUGGUCAGGCAGUAAGUGGAGUCCUGGCUAAAGUCCGGAUUGCAGUGGGCCUGCUGGGUCCACGAACCCACCCAGAAGCCCCUUGUCCCUGAGAGUGUCAUUCACAUGCUUUGACAGUUGGAGUAACCCCUACCUCAGUCCUGGUCUACUGGGUGGGAGCUAUUAGAGCCAAGAAGGCCAAGUAGAAACUUCUGAAACUGCCGUGCCCCUUCUCCUCGCCCUGCCCGAGAUAGUAAACCAAAAAUAACAUCUCAUCCUAGGGGCUGUGGUAGAAACUAAUUCCACGACUAACAACUAAGGAUGAAGGAGUGUGGUCCCUACCAUUGAUUUCUUCAUUUAACUCACCAGUCUGACCUCUGCAGAAAUUGGACGGAUCCUGGAGGAAGACCGUAGACCGCCACGGCUUAACCAAGGGGGAGCCCUGCUGGCAGCUGCUGUGCCUGAUGUGGAGUCCUUGCCGGAGCAGGUUCACGAGGCCUUAGAGAUCAGGACCGUGAUCCCACAGAACAUCACCCUGAUCCACUGCAUCGCUGCGCCAUGCUGGUUAGACAGGAUGAGCAAGAGGUGUCCCUAUGCUGGAAGCCGCGGCUAAGUCACACGCACUCCCGAGUGCGGCAUAUAAAACCUAUGACGAUUCAGAGACCUACCACUUCAAUGAAGUUUUGAAGGGGUUCAGUGGUCAGGGGGAUGCCAGGAUAUCCCCUCCCAAGUAAACGAAAUGGCUGCAUUUUGUAUUUCUUACCACAAGAAAGCACAAUGCCUGGUAACCCUCUUGGGGUUAGAGACAACCCAUUAUUCUGGGUGACAAGGAAGGCUGCCAGCUGUAGGUGGGCCCCAGGACGGGAAGAGGCUCUGCUGAAGGUUUAGGCUGCAGUGCAAGCAGUCCUGCCAUUUGGGUUAUGCUGUUUGGCAGACUCUCUGGUGCUGGAAUAGUCAAUAGUGGGAGAGGGAAAUGGUGUAGUUGGAGCUUAUGUCAAGUCCCAGUGGGAGAAGUGUAGAGCAGGACCCUGGGAUUCCACGGCAAGGCCACACCAUCGGCAACAGAGGGCUGCAUGCCUUUUGAGAAACUGUUUCUGGCAUGUUACUAGGCUCUGGUAGAGACAGAACACUCGCCCAGGGCACACCAAGUAGGACAUCUGAAACUGCCCUCUGAGCUGGGUUCUGUUGGAUGCAUCAAGUCAUAAAGUCAGAUGGGGCUGACAGCAGUCCGUCAUAAGACAGAAAUGCUGCCUCUGGGACUGAGCCAGACUGAGGCAGAGGGCAUGAAUAAACUGCAUGAGGACAUAGCCAGAGCCCAUUCCCUGGCUUGUACUUAUGGCCACAUGGAGGGUUCUGUACAACCAACUGAAAGAGGAGGAAAAAGCCUGAGCUUGGUUUAUGGAUGGGUCAACGUGGCACAUGGGUACAAGCUGAAGAUGGACAGUGGCUGCAUGGCAGGUGUAAGGGAAAGGGAAAAUAUUCUUCCUGGAUAGAGCUGUGAGCAGGGCGCUUGCUCACCCACCUUGUUGCACAAGAAAAAGUGGCCCAAGGUGGUGAGAAUAUAUACACCCUCUUGGGCAGUGGCCAAUGGUCUGGCCAUUUGUUCAGGGGCCUGGAAGGAAAAGGACUGGCAGAUUGGGGACAAGGAGGUGUGAGGUAGAGGCAUGUGGAUGGAUGCAGGAGAUAAAGCAUGAAGCGUGAGGGUUGCAGUACCACACACUAAUGCCCAUUAGAAAGCACUCGAAACAGAAGCAGCAGUGAAUAAGCAAGGAAAGAAAAUGUCUUGGACAGUUGACACAAGCCAGUCCUUGUCAUUGGCUACUCUGGAACUGGCAUGAUGGGCAUAUGAGUGGAAUGGCCACAGUGGCAGAGGCAGAAGCCACAGAGGGGCUAACAUGGGCCCAGCAGCACGUACUCCCACGUAUCAAGGCCACUCUAGGAACUGCUGCCUCUGAAUGUCCAACCCGUCAGCAAAAGAGACCAGUGCUGAGCCCCUGCAGUGGCACUGUGUCUCAAGGAGCCCAACUCACCGCUUGAAGGCAAGUCAACUGCAUCAGGCUCCUUCCAUCCCGAAGCGUCAGCAGUUCACCCUCUUUGGGAAAGAGAUCUAUUAUGGGUUUGCCUUUCCUGACCACAGAGCCUCAGUCAGCACCGCUGUCCAGGGACUUACAGAACGCCUGAUCCGAAGGCAUGGAAUUCCACCCAGUACAGCAUUUGACCAGGGACACUGGAGGGUCCCACUGGACUAGACUAUGGCUGCCACCAGGGCACUUUGGAUUCCUUAUGUCCAGGGACCAGCCGGGGGACUUGACCCUGAUCAGCAGGAUUCAGGGCUGCUACUCCAUAAUGGGGACAGGAAGGAAUGUGUGCGCCCAGGUGAUCCACUGAGCACUCCCAGAUGAUCCCCACUGUCAUCAUGAAAGGACAUGCGCAGCAACCCUGACCUGAGAAGGGUUUGGUUACCAAGCCUUGAGGUCCCCCUUUCCCCCUCCCCGGCAUAAAGGCUGGGGUCACACCACCAGGAACAGCCCAAGGGAAACAGGCAAGAGCCACCCUCUGUAUCUGGUGGAGAAGCAGCACCGUGUGGCACAAGGGUGGACUGUGACAACCAUGAAGACUUCUCUCGGUUCUCUGGCUGCAGGGAUUGGAAGUGGCCGCCCGCGCCAGCUGCUGUAUCCUGAAAUCUAUUACUGAGUUUGCACUAAGAAUGCACUUCCCACGAGCUGCUGCCUGCCAGUGACUGAGCAUGGCGGGGAUCCUGGCAGGCUGUCCUCAGGAGAUUGCCGAUGGCUUGAGGACUUCUCACCUGCCUUGCCGAGCCUCGUUAGACCCGCACUGCAGUCUAAGUCUCCUCCGCCCAACUCUCCUUCCUUCUCUCUUUCACAAGGUCACACCCGCACCAUGGUCUCCUGGCUCUCCCAGGCUCCCCUGCUUCCCUUCCAUUACAAUUUGAGAAGAACUCAUUUAGAUGAUUUUGUCUUUAAAUCCUUUAAAUCUGUUUGGAACCUGAGUCUUUGCAAAGGUAAACAGUUGGAAUCACACAACCAUCUGGGUCCUUCAUUUUGUAGGUCAAAGCCCAGCAAAGUUAAGGCACUAGUUCAAAGUCACAUGGCGAACUAGAAUAGAGCCAGCACCCAGGGGUCUUACCCGCCAGCUCUUCCCACUGUAGGCUCUUCUGUGAGCAGGCUGCUUGCUCUAAAUGUGCAUUGUCUAGUGUGGUAGCACCGGAAAUGUGGGUAGUUGUGGUGUAAUAAAAAAACACUUGGUCUUUGUCCUGGGUUCCUGGCCUGGAGUCCCUCAAACCCUUAGAAUUUCCUGGGUGAUGGCGUGUCUCUCGUUAUUCACAAGGAGCGCCUCUGACCACACCUGUGUUUAUGCGAACGAAGUGACUCACGGUGGGGCCCUAGAUAGCUUCAGGAUGGGCGCUGGUCAUUGGAAAGACCAAACAUGUGCAUAGAGGGUGGGAACUUGCAGCUUCAGGGGGGGUGGUGGGGGCUGCAGAAUGAGUUAUAAAAACUCUUGAACAAGAUUCAAAGAGCUCCCGGUUGGUGACCACAUUGAGACGCUGGGAGGGUGGAGGCCCCGAGAGGGCAUGGAAGGUCUGCACUACCCCUUCUCCCACAGCCUGCCCUAUGCCUCUUUUCCACGUGGCUGUUGUGGAGUUGUACCUUCAUAAUAAACUGAUAAACAUAAGUAAAGUGUUCUCUUGAGUUCUGUGAGCUCUUCUAAUCAUUGAACCUGAGGAGGGGGUUAUGGGAACCUCCCAAUUUAUAGCUGGUCAGUCGUAAGUAUAGGUGACCCCUGGGACUUGCACCUGGUAUCUAAAGUGGGGGCAGUCUUGUGGGAUGGAGUCCUAAACUGUGGAGCCAGCACU